This 501-nucleotide ribosomal RNA is filed under the name uncultured bacterium. RNAcentral describes it as "partial 16S ribosomal RNA". It matches the Rfam family "Bacterial small subunit ribosomal RNA", at positions 30 to 523 of the family's 1533-position model. The record is from RNAcentral.
AUUGAACGCUGGCGGCAGGCUUAACACAUGCAAGUCGAGCGGAGAUGAGGUGCUUGCACCUUAUCUUAGCGGCGGACGGGUGAGUAAUGCUUAGGAAUCUGCCUAUUAGUGGGGGACAACAUUCCGAAAGGAAUGCUAAUACCGCAUACGUCCUACGGGAGAAAGCAGGGGAUCUUCGGACCUUGCGCUAAUAGAUGAGCCUAAGUCGGAUUAGCUAGUUGGUGGGGUAAAGGCCUACCAAGGCGACGAUCUGUAGCGGGUCUGAGAGGAUGAUCCGCCACACUGGGACUGGGACACGGCCCAGACUCCUACGGGGGGCAGCAGUGGGGAAUAUUGGACAAUGGGGGGAACCCUGAUCCAGCCAUGCCGCGUGUGUGAAGAAGGCCUUAUGGUUGUAAAGCACUUUAAGCGAGGAGGAGGCUACUGAGACUAAUACUCUUGGAUAGUGGACGUUACUCGCAGAAUAAGCACCGGCUAACUCUGUGCCAGCAGCCGCCGUAA